Molecule: ribosomal RNA, 419 nt
Filed under: Bacillus velezensis
Lineage: Bacteria; Bacillati; Bacillota; Bacilli; Caryophanales; Bacillaceae
Also listed under: 1 other name
Description: bacterial SSU rRNA
Rfam family: Bacterial small subunit ribosomal RNA
Source: RNAcentral
GAGCACGCCGCGUGAGUGAUGAAGGUUUUCGGAUCGUAAAGCUCUGUUGUUAGGGAAGAACAAGUGCCGUUCAAAUAGGGCGGCACCUUGACGGUACCUAACCAGAAAGCCACGGCUAACUACGUGCCAGCAGCCGCGGUAAUACGUAGGUGGCAAGCGUUGUCCGGAAUUAUUGGGCGUAAAGGGCUCGCAGGCGGUUUCUUAAGUCUGAUGUGAAAGCCCCCGGCUCAACCGGGGAGGGUCAUUGGAAACUGGGGAACUUGAGUGCAGAAGAGGAGAGUGGAAUUCCACGUGUAGCGGUGAAAUGCGUAGAGAUGUGGAGGAACACCAGUGGCGAAGGCGACUCUCUGGUCUGUAACUGACGCUGAGGAGCGAAAGCGUGGGGGAGCGAACAGGAUUAGAUACCCUGGUAGUCCACG